ACGACCUUACUUGAACAGGAUCUGUUCUAUAGGUUGUACCUCUGUAUCCUUGAUUUCUAAGGAGACAGGAACCUCAGUCUGGUGGAUGAACCAUGACCGUGUGAUCAGAGCGUGAUUAACAGCCUUGUGACCCUCGGAUCAUUCAAGCAGUAGAUGAUCGUUCUCAGCCAUCUCUUCAGCUGGCUGGGGUGGUCACACGGUUGUCUGACAGACC
RNAcentral lists this small nucleolar RNA (214 nucleotides) under Malus domestica (apple). Its description in RNAcentral is "sRNA MD17G0088700". It matches the Rfam family "Plant small nucleolar RNA U3". From Rfam's summary of the family: Small nucleolar RNAs (snoRNAs) are involved in the processing and modification of rRNA in the nucleolus. There are two main classes of snoRNAs: the box C/D class, and the box H/ACA class. The record is from RNAcentral. Lineage: Eukaryota; Viridiplantae; Streptophyta; Magnoliopsida; Rosales; Rosaceae.